This 480-nucleotide long non-coding RNA is filed under the name Salmo salar (Atlantic salmon). Its description in RNAcentral is "lncRNA (ENSSSAG00000109380.1)". The record is from RNAcentral. Lineage: Eukaryota; Metazoa; Chordata; Actinopteri; Salmoniformes; Salmonidae.
GCCAUGAGGUCAAAGGAAUUGUUUGUAAAGCGCCAAGACAGGAUUGUGUGUGGUAUAUGCUAACCUAAUGAGACUGAAGUGCAACUGGCCCCAAGAUAGUCUGAGUUCUGCGCAAUGAACUAACCAUUCAAGUUGUCCAAAACGCUUUAUUUACGUUUUGCAAAGAUAUGGAUGAGUCAACGUCAUUGGAUAUCGAGGCCCUGAAGGAGGACCGCUGUGGAUGCAGGCAUUUGUUCCAAACCAGCACUAGCACAUCAGAUUUGUGUUUUGGCACUAGAUGGGAGCAAAAGCUUGCACACUAUCUGGUAAUCCAUGACCAGGAGUGAAGACCUUGGGCAAUAGAGUAAGGACCUUGUUUCCGGGUACCACUAAAGGCCACAGUCUUCAGCCAGGCAGCUUGAAGAUGUCACCAUUCCUUCAAACCGCACACACGGAGACAUAGAAAUGGUAUCCACCAGUUCAUCUGACUCUGUGAAAGUA